RNAcentral lists this long non-coding RNA (565 nucleotides) under Homo sapiens (human). Its description in RNAcentral is "non-protein coding lnc-FOXA2-10:1". The record is from RNAcentral. Lineage: Eukaryota; Metazoa; Chordata; Mammalia; Primates; Hominidae.
UCCUUUGAUAGCAGUGCACACCAACAUCAACUAUGACUUGCUUAGUACACUACACUAUAGCAUGGCAAACAUGUUAUUGCCACCUUCUGAAAUCUCUCUGGAGAUAUAACUGUUGCUUUAAAAGUCACACAUGGUUAUAGGUAAAAUAGUCUCUGUUUUAUUUUUCUCUCUGUUCAAAAGCCUAAAAAUAAUAUCUGAAAAAUAACACAGUAUAUAUACUCAAAAUCUGAGUAAAACGGAACUCCCAUCCUUAAAAAUACAUUUGCACAGUGGUUUGGAAAUACAUGCAUAUUUUUCCACCCAAGGCAUGUUCUCUAAAAUCGUUGUCCCUCACACAUUAAAUAAAACUAGAAAAAGAAAAAAAUUUUAUUCAAGAAUUUUUCAGUGACUAGAGGAAAAUAAAACAAUGGGAAAUAAAUCAAAAUCAUAAAUGUGAAUAUUUAGGUGCCAAGCAUAUUUGAUUUUUUUCUCUGCUUAAUGUUUUUCUAAACCUAUGUCAAAAAAAAGCAUACAAUUAUGUCGAUAAAAAUAUACUAUAUAUAAAAAAAGAAAUGAUCUGAAGUGA